This 520-nucleotide ribosomal RNA is filed under the name uncultured Glomus. RNAcentral's name for it is "SSU rRNA". It matches the Rfam family "Eukaryotic small subunit ribosomal RNA", at positions 569 to 1093 of the family's 1831-position model. Lineage: Eukaryota; Fungi; Glomeromycota; Glomeromycetes; Glomerales; Glomeraceae. The record is from RNAcentral.
AGCAGCCGCGGUAAUUCCAGCUCCAAUAGCGUAUAUUAAAGUUGCUGCAGUUAAAAAGCUCGUAGUUGAAUUUCGGGACUAAUAUGUCGGUCGUGCCUCGGUACGUACUGGUAUUUUUGGUUUCUCCCUUCUGACGAACCUUGAUGUCAUUAAUUUGGUGUCUUGGGAAAUCAGGACUGUUACUUUGAAAAAAUUAGAGUGUUUAAAGCAGGCUCACGCUUGAAUACAUUAGCAUGGAAUAAUGAAAUAGGACGUUUGAUUCUAUUUUGUUGGUUUCUAGGAUCGACGUAAUGAUUAAUAGGGAUAGUUGGGGGCAUUAGUAUUCAAUUGUCAGGGGUGAAAUUCUUGGAUUUAUUGAAGACUAACUACUGCGAAAGCAUUUGCCAAGGAUGUUUUCAUUAAUCAAGAACGAAAGUUAGGGGAUCGAAGACGAUCAGAUACCGUCGUAGUCUUAACCAUAAACUAUGCCGACUAGGGAUCGGAUGAUGUAAUUUUUAAUGACUCAUUCGGCGCCUUACGG